RNAcentral lists this ribosomal RNA (403 nucleotides) under uncultured bacterium. RNAcentral describes it as "partial 16S ribosomal RNA". It matches the Rfam family "Bacterial small subunit ribosomal RNA", at positions 29 to 526 of the family's 1533-position model. The record is from RNAcentral.
AUUGAACGCUGGCGGCAGGCCUAACACAUGCAAGUCGAGCGAGCGGCGGACGGGUGAGUAAUGUAUGGGGACUGCCCGAUAGAGUGGGAUAACUACUGGAAACGGUGGCUAAUACCGCAUCCUAUCGGAUAACCCAUAUGGGAUUAGCUAGUGGGGGGGGUACAGGCUCACCUAGGCGACGAUCUCUAGCUGGUCUGAGAUGAUGCUCAGCCACAUGGGGACUGAGACACGGCCCAGACGCCUACGGAGGCAGCAGUGGGGAGUAUGGAAAAAUGGGCGCAAGGCUGAUGCAGCCAAGCCGCGGGUAUGAAGAAGGCCUUAGGGGUGUAAAGUACUUUCAGCGGGGAGGCGUUACCCGCAGAAGAAGCACCGGCGAACUCCGGGCCAGCAGCCGCGGUAAUAC